UCAAGCAAAAAAGAGCGCAGGGUGGAUGCCUUGGCACUAAGAGCCGAAGAAAGACGUGAUAAGCUGCGAAAAGCUGCGGGGAGGAGCAAAUAUCCACUGAUCCGCAGAUGUCUGAAUGGGGAAACCCGCAUGAGCACACCUCAUGCAUCCAUACGCCAAUCCAUAACGUAUGGAGGGGAACCGCCUGAACUGAAACAUCUAAGUAGGGCGAGGAAGAGAAAGAAAAUUUAUCGAUUUCCAAAGUAGCGGCGAGCGAAAUGGAAAGAGGCCAAACCGGAGUGCGUGCACUCCGGGGUUCGGACCGCAUUUAAGAUUCAGUGAUUCUAGCAGAAAGGUUUUGGGAAAGCCUGCCGGAGAGGGUGAAAGCCCCGUAAGCGAAAGAGGAACUGACUGAGCGGUAUCCAGAGUACAUCGAGACACGAGAAACCUUGAUGGAAUGAGCGGGGACCACCCCGUAAGCCUAAAUACUCCUUAGUGACCGAUAGCGCAUAGUACUGUGAAGGAAAGGUGAAAAGGACCCCGGGAGGGGAGUGAAAGAGAACCUGAAACCCUGUGUUUACAAGCUGUGGGACAUCUUUACAUGAUGAACCGCGUACUUUUUGUAGAACGGUCCGGCGAGUUGCGGAUGCCGGCAAGGUUAAGCACUUAAGGUGUGGAGCCGAAGGGAAACCAAGUCUGAAGAGGGCGCAUAUAGUCAGUAUCCGCAGACCCGAAACCGGGUGAUCUACCCAUGUCCAGGUUGAAGUUGCCGUAAAAGGCAAUGGAGGACCGAACGCACAUCCGUUGAAAAGGGUGGCGAUGAGGUGUGGGUAGGGGAGAAAUUCCAAUCGAACCCGGAGAUAGCUGGUUCUCCUCGAAAUAGCUUUAGGGCUAGCCUCGUUUUAGUCUUAUGGAGGUAGAGCACUGAAUUUCCGCGGGGGCGUCAAAGCUUACCAAAGAAUAUCAAACUCCGAAUGCCAUGUAGAUGAUGAACGGGAGUCAGACUGCACGAGAUAAGUUGGGCAGUCAAAAGGGAAAGAGCCCAGACCGCCAGCCAAGGUCCCAAAGUGUGUGUUAAGUGGAAAAGGAUGUGGGAUCUCCAAGACAACUAGGAUGUUGGCUCAGAAGCAGCCACACAUUCAAAGAGUGCGUAACAGCUCACUAGUCGAGAGGUCCUGCGCCGAAAAUGUCCGGGGCUGAAACACAACACCGAAGCUGCGGAAUUGCGAAUGCAAUUGGUAGAGGAGCAUUCUUAAUACCGACGAAGCUGUACCGGAAGGAGCAGUGGAGGGAUAAGAAGAGAGAAUGCCGGAAUGAGUAGCGAGAGAGAGGUGGGAAUCCUCUCGGCCGAAUAUCCAAGGUUUCCAGAGUAAAGCUGAUCUGCUCUGGGUAAGUCGGGGCCUAAGGCGAGGUCAAAAGACGUAGCCGAUGGACAACAGGUUUAGAUUCCUGUACCGCAUAUAAACAGAACUGUGGGGACGCAUGGGGAGAGCAUGGGCCGGGAAUGGAAAUACCGGUGCAAGCGAAGGAGGUGUGCAGCCGGCAAAUCCGCUGCAUGAGCCGAAAGCGUGACGCGGAGCGAAAUGAAAGUAGCGAAGCAUGUGAGCCCUGUGCCGAGAAAAGCCGCUAUUGCUUUAUAUGUGCCCGUACCGUAAACCGACACAGGUGGAUGAGGAGAGAAUCCUAAGGCCGGCGGAAGAAGUAUUGUUAAGGAACUCGGCAAAAUGACCCCGUAACUUCGGGAGAAGGGGUGCCCAUGAAAGUGGGCCGCAGAGAAUAGGCUCAAGCAACUGUUUAGCAAAAACACAGGUCUAUGCGAAACCGAAAGGUGAAGUAUAUGGGCUGACGCCUGCCCGGUGCUGGAAGGUUAAGAGGAGAGGUUAGCGCAAGCGAAGCUUUGAAUUUAAGCCCCAGUAAACGGCGGCCGUAACUAUAACGGUCCUAAGGUAGCGAAAUUCCUUGUCGGGUAAGUUCCGACCCGC
Molecule: ribosomal RNA, 1961 nt
Filed under: human gut metagenome
Description: bacterial LSU rRNA
Rfam family: Bacterial large subunit ribosomal RNA
Source: RNAcentral